RNA transcript from Triplophysa rosa, 7044 nucleotides. It is a transcript of the gene named ubiquitin associated and SH3 domain containing Bb, with no coding region annotated. Lineage: Eukaryota; Metazoa; Chordata; Actinopteri; Cypriniformes; Nemacheilidae. The record is from RefSeq and is a predicted model, not a curated record. The transcript is spliced from 18 exons.
GACUUUAGAAUCACACCCAUCCUGUUGUAUGGUAACUUUUUAGGCAUAACAAGCUUGUAGUAGCGAUGAUUCCCAAUGUAAAUAAACCUACAGUAAAAAUUGACUGUACAAAUUGAGUUUUAUGUAAUGUACCAUGUGCAUAUCCUUUAUUAUUGCAUUUUAUUAUAUAUUUUGUCAAUGUAUAAAUGAUGCCAAUAAAUAUUUUGCAUACAUUGAUAUUCAUAUUUCAAUAUAAACUAUACAUGUAAGUACUGGUUAGUAUAAGUUAAUAAUCUGUUACAGUAAGUAAUUUAGUAAACCUGCAUCAUUUUUUAUUCACAUUUGUACUAUAUAAUUGUAGUCUGUAACCGAUGAGUAACAUUAACUUAAGUCAAAUCAGGGUCUGUAUUGUAUUAAACAUAAUGAAAACGGUGAAAGGUCUACUUGGGUAUGUUAUAAAACACAAUGACAUGACUACCUUUACCUAUUUUGGGCAGAUGGGCAUCUUGAUGCUGGCCUGUCCGAAGUGUUUUGAAACAAGCUGACGCGGGACCCGCCUAUAUGCCAAGAUGCUGCUGACUUGAAGGAUGGCAGCAAAGGAGGAUUUGUACAGUAAGAUUAUUCCGCGCAGACUUCGACGGAGCAGUUCUGUCUCUGCCAAGCAUGGGUCCAGUCUGGAUGUGCUUCUGUCGAUGGGAUUCCCUCAGCAUAGAGCAUCGAAAGCUCUGGCAUCAACCGGAGGCAGAAGUGUUCAGCUAGCUUGUGACUGGCUGUUCUCCCAUUUGGAUGACCCCUUUCUGGACGACCCUUUACCCAGAGAGUAUGUGCUAUAUCUGUGUCCCAGUGGGCCUUUACAAAACCAACUUUCCCAUUUCUGGCAGCAGUCUCGCUUAACCUGUGGCAAGAACAAAGCUCACAACAUAUUUCCACAUAUCACACUCUGUCAGUUCUUUAUGUGCCCAGACAAUAAAGUUGUGGCUGUCUGUGAAGCGCUGCAGUCCACGGUGAAUCAGUGGAGGGGGAGAUUUCCCAGCCCUCUGCCCCUGGAGCUUUACACCUCCACUAACUUCAUCGGGCUGUUUGUGGAGGAACAGGUGGCUGAGACGCUAAAGAAGUUUGCGUCGGACUUUGCGGUGGAGGCUGCCACUAAAGCUGAUGUUCAUGUGGAACCCCAUAAAAAGCAACUUCAUUUGACUCUAGCAUAUCACUUUCCAACCAAUCAUUUUUCUUCCUUGGAAAAAUUGGCUAAAGGGGUUGAGGUCAAGCUCGGCUGCGAUUGGCUCGCUGCUAUUUUCUCACGGGACAUAAGAUUUGCGAAUCAUGAGACUUUGCGAGUGAUGUACCCGUACACUCCUCAGAAUGAUGAUGAGUUGGAGCUGGUGCAGGGAGACUUCAUCUUCUCAUCGACUGUGGAGCAAAUGAGUACGAGUGAGGGCUGGGUGAACGGUACAUCUCUGGGUACAGGCUUGUCUGGACUGCUGCCCGAGAACUAUGUCAGCCCUGCUGAUGAAUGCGACACAUGGGUCUUCCACGGGUCACACUCCUUCUUUUCUACUACCCCUUCGGAAAAGGGCUACAAAGAGAGCAAAUCAUUGGACGGGCUGUUCAGCCUUCGUUGCAUGGAUAACUCAAGGCUGGGAGACUCCGCCAUCUUGAGCGUUAUUUGCCAACCUAUGCAGGUGCUUCGAUCCAACCUUCAGUCUCGUCCUUCUAAAAGGACCCUGUUCGUAUGUCGACAUGGAGAGAGAAUGGACGUUGUGUUUGGAAAACAAUGGCUCUUACAGUGUUCUGACUCUAAAGGCAGGUAUGUGAGGAGUAAUCUGAAUAUGCCCGCUGUGCUACCUGCCUGGGGUGAAGCACACAGAAUGUAUGAAAUGGAUGCUCCUAUUACAGUGGUUGGAUCUACACAGGCCAGGAUAGUGGGUGAGGCUAUUCUGGAAAGUAACACCACUAUUGAUUUUGUAUACUGCUCGCCCAGCCUCCGCUGUGUCCAGACAGCUCAUGAAAUCCUCAGAGGGAUGCAGCAAGAUGGCAGAAUAAGUAUUCGAGUGGAACCUGGGCUUUUUGAGUGGACUAAAUGGGUCUCGGGAACAUCUUUGCCGGCUUGGAUACCUCCUACAGAUCUUGCUGCAGCCAAACUCAAUGUAGACACAACAUACAGACCUCACUUUCCCAUUAACAAACUAACCAUCUCGGAGACAUAUGACACGUAUAUUAGUCGGAGCUACAAGGUGACCAAAGACAUUUUGGCUUACUGCAAAAAUAAAGGAAACAACAUUCUGUUUGUGGCACAUGCUUCUUCUUUGGAGGCUUGUACCCGGCAGAUUCAAGGCCUUUCCCCUCAGAACCCUAAAGAUUUUGUGCAAGUAGUACGAAAGAUUCCAUACCUGGGUCUCUGUGCGUGUGAGGAGCAAGGGGACACGGGAACAUGGCAGCUGGUAGACCCCCCAAUUCUGCCUCUUACUCAUGGGCCCAAUCACAGCUUCAGCUGGAGAGAGAACCUACAGCAAGAAUGACCUUGUGUUUAUAGUCUUUCCUCAAAGGACAACUAUUCUAGAGGAGAGUCUGCAAUGUUACCUGCACUGGAAGCACACAACUGAGCAUUUUUAAAAAAUAUGUUGUAAUUUGUUACAUUCAUGUUUUAAGUUAUGCAAAUUAUAUAUUAAUGUGGGACGUGGCGGAGUUGGACAGAGGAGACUGCACUGUAUAAAGAACAUAUGUGACCCUGGACAACAAAACUGGUCUUAUGGGUCAAUUUUUCAGACAGAAGUUUUUACAAAUUUGUUAGGAUAGGAUGAUAAUAUCUGGCUGAGAUACAACUGUUUAAGACUCUAGAAUCUGAGGGUGCAAAAAAAUCAAAAUAUUGAGAAAAUUGCCUUUGAAGUUGUUAAUCAGAGGCACUGUAGCAGGCCAUCCACUCACAAAUAUAAAGUUUUUAUAUAUUUACGGUAAGAAACUUACAAAAUAUCUUCAUGGAACAUCUUUACUUAGUAUGAUUUUUGGCAUAAAAGAAAAAUCGAUAAUUUUGGCCCGGACAAUGUAUUUUUGGCUUUUUUACUUCCUGUGCUACUUACUGGUUUUGCGAUCCAGGGUCACAUAUACGGGAGUGUUUACUGGGCCUUCAAGCAGGCUUUCUAGGGCAUUGGCUUUUAAUCACAUUUAAUAGGUUAAAAUGCACAGUGAAAUAAUGCAGCAGUAAAUAUGACAUCACUUCAUACCACGCAUACCUGCCACUUUCCAAUGGCAUUCAAAAGGAAUCAGUGUUUCAUCAUCCUAUGAACCUUCAUGCAAAAAGGCAAUAUCCAUAUUAAUAUAAAUAUGUCAAAUAAUAUACAUAUAAGACAGCUGUGUGGAGCAGGAUUUUGUACCAGUGGCAUUUAAAAGACAAAAACAGAUUUACAUGGAGAAGUACAUUUUAGCACUUGUUACUUUCAUGAUAUGGAAAUGUUGACUUUUUUUCAAUUGAAGUUUAUUUUCAUAGCGUUUUUACUAUUUGCAUUGCGUCAAAGCAGUUGCAAGAAAACCAAAACCAACAUAAGAGUUUGUCAUUCAUAAUAGCCUACUUUGUUCGACUUGUGUUAUUAUUUCAAGUCUUACAGAUGAGCUAAACAUACUUUAGAUGUAAGGAUAAAUGUCCUUAGAAAACAUUAAUGUUAAUAAUUAUUUGCAAACUUUGUAAAAUUAAAAGUAUUAAUAUUAAAAUAAGUUCUUUUCGGUGGGAAAGGUGUCUGGACCGCAUCGCAGUUUCGCCACGCCUCGAUCAUUUCAGUAACUUUGUUUACUUCGCGCCUUGUCUGACAGGUAGGCCCACGUCUUUUUUUCAUCAUGUUAUCCGAGUUAGACAAGCAUAAGUUUAGAGCGAUACAUUAGGCUACCUAAUACAUCUAAUAUUUUUGUUAAUAUUUCAAGUCUUUUGGCGGGCAGGGUGGCUUAAUGGGGGUAGGCCUAACUUUGUUUAUUCUCGUUCACUAAUAUCCUGGUUUAACCCAAGGUCCCUUUUGUACAGCAUAUUCGACCUGAUUGGUUAGCUAAUAGAUCUUUUUCGACCCAUUUGACAUUCUCCUCGAUAAACGCGUCAUCUAGCAUCCUGAAAUUAAAGAAAUGCAACAUUUAUGCAUCUGUUGUAGUCCAGUCAGCUCAGGUCAGCAACUGCAAUAGAGAUCCUUACGGGAUAAAGUGAGUCCAGUAGCAAACUCUUUUCAGAUAAGCAUAUGCACAACACGUCUGACGUGGUAAGUUUGAUUUUUAGAGUAAAAUGGGAUAAAUUUCUCCGCAGAUGCUUGAGAAAUGAAAGAACUCUGUUGAUGGUUACGUUUUAAACCUGGUUUAUAAUAACAUGCCAAAUUAAGGUUACAUAGCCCACUGACACUUACCUUAAUCCAUUAACAUAAUUAUUAUUGAUGUACAGAGACAAGCUUACAUUCGACUUAUUUUAAAGGGGAUAAUUUAGCCGAAGCUUUACCUCCUAACUUUGCUCAAGGUUAACUUAAUAUUUAAUGCAUGUUUUCAUUUUAUUUCCAAAAUUUUGUUUCAGAUCGACUUCUGCUGUACAGACCCCAAUUGAAGACUAGAUAGACAGUGUAUGUGUGUAUAAAAUACUUAUCUGAUGAAUCGCUAUAAGAGUGAAGUCACCAUAAAAUGAGAGACUUGUUGUUGAAAUGCAGUAAUCAACCGUAAUGAACCUGAAGCAGUUAACUCCAUCUGCGUUCAUGUCCUUACAGUCUAAUUGCACAAGUUGUAAGCAGCCCUUUUCCCCCUUCCCUUCUGUUUGGCACCUGUGAUCUUUCAGACGUGGAACGGUCGGACUUUCCCGUGAUUAAUGGGGCUGAUUGGCAAUAGACGGGACUGACAAACGAUUGGUGGGAUUCAUUCCUCUAAAAAUCCAAGUCAUUAUAGGAGAGCAGUGAAUCUCUGCAGUCUAAUAAUGCUCUCAGUGUUCUUUUCAAGCUUUUAAACUAAUUCGUGAUUGAUCACUAAUUAUCGGUGACGGGGCCUCUCGAGACAGCACUUUCCAGUUUGUUCCUAUCUUGAAACAGUUUGAAAGGAGCUAUAACUUCCAAAUGGUUGACUCUGCUCCCUGGUGGAGAGUCAAUAGACCGCUGCGAGACAUUUGAGUGAACAUUGACGUUCUUUGCCAAUAUGCCUUAUUGCCUCUCGACAGAAUAAAACACCUGGAACGUAGAAAUGUCUGGUCGGGUUUUGAUGGGGCCGUAGUCGGCAAUCAGCAGUGUUACUGCUCUUAUUGAACUUCUUAUUGGGUAUUUGUAUAGUGCUCCCCACACGCACUUUAGCAGCCAGACAUUGGUUGACAAAUCCACAUUCUUUAAUUGCGUGACCAUUGAUUUCAGUUCCAGUCAAAAAGAGAGAAAAAAGGAAAGCGCCCACUUAAAGACAAGACAUAUAUUAGUCUAAUGCCGAUGGCAAAGGCUGUUUGCAGCAUAAGGAACGCACACACAUAACAGAGUGUAAAGAGACCGAGUCCCUGGCUGUUUCUUUAUGAGCCAACAGACGUCUCGGGCUCAGCAGAAUAUCAUUUCCUUUCCAGUGCUGUUGAUGUUUGCUAGUUCACUUUGAAUGUAAAAGAGAGAAUAUGUGAGUUUUGUAGGUUACGUUUGUUAUUCAGGUGAAAAAAUAUGUUCGUGGAAGUUGAGGGGUUUUAUUCUAGCCGAGAACUUCUGCAUCUGCACAUUUCUGACACAAAGAGGGAGCAGCCUCAACGAGAACACCAGGGUGGAAACAGUGGAUGAAAUCAUUCUCCCAUCCAGCUGUUGAUGGCUAUGCUGAUGGACAGCUCCCUUCUCCAGCAGGAAAUGUAGGCUACUAAUAAGCUGUUUGCUGCAUAUUUUGUUACGAAGACUCGCCAAACAUACUGUGCAUCUCACUUCUAUGUGUGAUACUGGGAUUUUAGAGUUGGAAAGCGCUGCUUGGCAACAAACAACGGAUGAAAUUGAUAUUUCCUCGCCGUCUGAGUGUCCACGGGUUCGCCAAUACUCAGUUCUACUGUGAGAUUUCAUAACAUAAAUUGUGUGGAAGAAUAGACAUGCUCUCUCUCCCUCCCUCCCUCUUUGUCUGACGUGAGGAAAACAGCAGUGGGUCUCUAUAAACAAACACAAUCUUGUCCCACAGUAAAAGUUUUGGUACAAUUUUAACAACUUUUUUCUCCUUUUCUCUCCUGCAGUACAUAACAAAUCAUCAAAGCCGGGAUUAAAUUUUCGUGAAGGAGCAGCGUUGACUUCUGGAAGACUUAAGCGUAUUAGCUUUAAAACGAAGAUGGGAGUUUUAAGUGAUGUAUGGCAGACUUCACAGAUGUUUUAAUCUGUCAGUAGGCAUAUGCUCUUGCACAGGCUAUUUAUAUUAGGAUUUUGUGUUUUCUUGCCUUUACACCCUAAUCGAUAGUUUCUCCUGCUCACAUGUACGUGAUCUUGUGUUUUAGUUAUUUAACAGUACUUCCUCUGGAUUUUUAUGAGAUUCCUUUAUAGUCUACAAUAGAACCGCAUGUACUGAUAAUAUGAUAAGUGUUUAAAUCUGUAACAUCUUUUUAAUAAACAAUUUAUGGUUUAAAGCUUGCAACUGCACUCCCAAGACCAUACUGAUGUACAUCUGGACACUUAAGUCAUAACAAAAAUGUAUGAAUUUCAUUGCAAUUAAUGAUAAAACAUUAAUACAACUGGUAUUUAUUUUACAGGUAGCACAUGCACAUUCUUUUGUAUUUUUAUGGUUUCUCUUAUCGGUCUACACCCGUUUAACUUUACUGUAGUGUACCUGUGUGAACUCCAGAGGAUGUUAUAUCAAACUCAGGUUUAUAUUUUAAACUUGCAAAAAUGGCCCAGAAAAGUUCAUACAUUUUUCUUGGGUGUCUUACUUUUUGAUGCUACUGCAACGUCAUAUUCAUGCAAUCUAUACUAAGAUGUCUGCUUUUUGGUAUAGUGCAUAUUCUAUUUGAUAGUUGAAAUGCUACAUCUAGGAUAAGAAUUAUAUGUUUUACAGAUUCAGAAACCUCUAGAGAAGAGUAACAUUUUAUUAAAGAUUUUGACAUCGCAAGGUAAAAUAUUUUUAUAGCUAUAA